Molecule: long non-coding RNA, 2706 nt
Organism: Salvia miltiorrhiza (redroot sage)
Lineage: Eukaryota; Viridiplantae; Streptophyta; Magnoliopsida; Lamiales; Lamiaceae
Exons: 4
Source: RefSeq, a predicted model, not a curated record
ACACAAUUCCCACGGCCUUCCACUCCAACCCUAGCCUUGCACGUCUCUCACUCAACCGCCGUCAUUCUCCCUAAAACCCGUCGUCUCUCUCAUGCCUCUAUCACUGCGCCACGCCCCCUGCUCAGCUGUCAUCGCCGCUGUCACCCCUGCUCGGCGCCUCUGCCUCCGCCUUGAACCAGUUUAGUCGCCACCUGCCGUCAUCCGCUUCACCAAUUCAGUGGUCGCAGUGCUGCAACAGCCCUGCUCGAAUGUCAUCGCCGCUCUCACCGCCCUGCUCGGCUGCCGCCUCCGCCUUGAAUCAGUUGAGUCGCCACGCCACCGCCCUGAAUUGAUUUAAUCUGCACUGUCAUAUCAUUCUCGCCAUCAUUAAUUGAUUUUUAGGCAUGUAAGAAUGUAUUUGUUACAUAACUUCAUAUGUUCUGCACUAAAAAAUUGUCAGUAUCACUUAAUUGUUGUUAUUAUAUCAUUAUUUCCUUUUAAAAAAAUAAGUAUCAUCUUUUAGGAUUGUAGAUGUUAAAUACGCAAAGGAUGAUUUGUUUAUAUCAUCUUUAACUCUUGCUUACACCACUUUGCGUAUAAACAAGUUAUUAGUUUUAAUGACUUGGAAUACUUGUUUAUCUCUUGCUUACAUCACUUUUUUAGUGAAAAUGAUGGCAAGGACAAAUGCGAGUGUGGCUUUGUAGUCAUGCACUUAUUUGCGUUAACUUGUUUAUGCUCAAGGAUUAGGGAUAUCUAUCUCAAUUACCAGUUCUUUUAUCUUGAUAUUGUUCGUUAAAACAUGUUGGAAUCAUGUGUUCUUGUAGUUUAUGCAAGGGAGUACGGGUGGGUGCUAAUCUUGAGGUUAUCUUUAUAGCCAAUGUAGAAAAAUCUGAAUUUGUCACCUUUGUAUAUAUAUUGUACCUGUCACCUGAAGCCAGAAUGGUUCGCUUAAAAUUGUCCAGGGUGUACCCUGGCAAUUUGAGAUACAUGGGUGUGAAUCAAAAUAUAUUUGCUAACAAAAUGAGAAUAGCCUCCUCGAUGUGGUCAAAGAAUGUCGAACGUCAUCUGUUAAGCUUCUAGGAUUGAAUAUAUAUUUGAAUCAUGUUGGAUUGAUAAAGAUUAUUUAACAUUGAAUUAUAUUUACCUGGUGCUCUGCUUUUACUGUUUCUUAUCUGCUGCUUAAGCUUUGAUCUAAGCUUUCUCUUUGAUUAUUUCUAGAUGGAACCAUCUAUCCUUAUGAAAAUUAUGACAUAGGAAAACACUAAGCUUCUCAUUGAUUCAUCGAAAUUUGGUGCAGAUGAUUUGUUUAUGCUAAAUAGUAUUCAAAGUUUUGUUGUAAUAUAAAGGAUCAUCGACUUGUUAAUAGACUCAAACUACUUAAAAGUAUUAGUGGAUAUAAUGCUUUGUUUAAGGGAAGAUUUGUUUUAUUUGUUGAGUUUUUUUCCGGAUAGUUAGUGAAUCUGAGCAGUAAAUUUGUAAAAAUCUGUAGUUAAUAUUUUGCAUUGAACAUGUAGAUCGCCAUAUUAACAUAGAUUAGUUCUCCAAAUAAUAUUUAUUAGGACUGGUGGUCUAGAUAUGUUCAUAACAGAGAGAGAGCAGAGAGUCUAUAUUGUUUCAGAGAUGGAUAUUUUAAGGCUAUCUAUCUUGAAAAUCAUAUAAGUUUAGAAUAUCUAAUUUUGUAUAUAUAUAUUCAUGAGUGGUGGAAGUUGAGUUUGUUAGUCUUGACUUCUUGAUCUUUGGCUUUUCUCACAAGUUGAGUAAUUUAUAUGUAGAUUAUAUGCAAUGAGUAACUGAAGGUGCAAUUUUCAAUUGACUUAUUGUAUGCAUGCUAUCAGUGUUGUCAUGUAAUUGUAUUUUUUGGGCAAUUCCACUCACAAUCAUGAAUAUUUCAUUGAUAUGCUAAACUUAUAUUUGCUCAUAUUGAUGCCUCAUUUGUUUCCGCAUAAUUCAUCUUUGUUGCUGCAAGGUGAGUGCUCUUUUGUAGCUAUGGUCAUUCCGUUUGUUUAUUGCAUGAAGAGUCAAUAUUUUGGAUGAACGAUUGCUUUUCAGUUUGCAUUCGAAAGCCUCAUGCAAGAGACUGUUGCAUCAAUGGCCCGAUAAUAUGUGCGCAACAUCAUAUCAUCUGUUCAGAGGGUUGCCUUAGCUCUCUCUUCGGUUCACCUUGUACCUAAUGCUGGUCUUCGGUCACCCAUCUGUGGUUCCAUAUUUUUUAUUGAAUGGAUAACUGAGUUUUUUAUUGGAUGAAUAACUUUUGUUUUUUGUUGAAAGGGCUAUUUUUAUAUUCAAUGCCAAAUUGGAGAAAAGAGAUAAAAAAACAACCUAUUUGGGAUAUUAUAAAGUCUCCAAGACAACUUGAUUUCAAGCAAUGUGGAUUUUUCAAGAUGCGUUACAUGAAAGAAAUUAUUGAAGAGCUUAUGAAGAAUGGUCGCUUUUGCCUAUACAUUCACAUGAUAUUGAUGAAGUUCGUGUUGAGUGGGUGAAUCUCAUUCUUAGUCACAUAUAAAAAGUAGAGGAUAUGCUGGAAAUGAAGCAAAAACAGGAGACUUUUGCUGAAUUUUCCAUGAAGAUUCUUCAACAAUAGACUACUAGAUAUUGUUUUGAAAAAAAAUAUUGUACUCUUUGUUUUGUAUAUUUAAUCUCUUGUCGUUCUUAGCUUCAUUUCAGUGUACAUUAACAGAAUAUGAAAUAUUGUGAAAUUAUAUAUGACAAUUAUAAUUUUUUAGUGUA